Molecule: non-coding RNA, 85 nt
Filed under: Streptomyces variegatus
Lineage: Bacteria; Bacillati; Actinomycetota; Actinomycetes; Kitasatosporales; Streptomycetaceae
Description: ZTP sequence
Rfam family: ZMP/ZTP riboswitch aptamer (pfl RNA motif)
About the family: Previously known as pfl RNA. ZMP is also known as AICAR.
Source: RNAcentral
GGGCCGGGCCGUUACCGGCGCUGAGGUGGAGCACCACCGGGGAGCGGCCUCUCGGAAGUCGAUGCCGUGCGCCUGGGCGAAGCAG